Molecule: long non-coding RNA, 965 nt
Filed under: Daucus carota (carrot)
Lineage: Eukaryota; Viridiplantae; Streptophyta; Magnoliopsida; Apiales; Apiaceae
Description: long non-coding RNA (DCAR_LNC004053)
Source: RNAcentral
ACAAUCACGAUUUAUUGUACACAUGGAUAUAACAUGAAUGUGGUUGCAUCAAAUGAACCUUGAAAUUAUCUGCUUUUUCUAAAUCCAUAAUUGUACCAUAAGACAACCUUGCAUCAACAACAAUUACAACAUGCCAGCUGAUAUUUUGUCAAUAAUGUCCGGAAGCUGCACCGCCCCCUCACCUCUCUAUUAGGGUUUGUCCACGCUCAAGUAAAUCAAGGGGCUUCCACUGGUUUUCUCCGGUGGAAAGCCCCAAUCCCUUCAUUAUCUUUUACUCUUUUUAGUUUCUUUCAAUAAAACCUUUUUUUUUUUUUGUNUCUCUUUUUAGUUUCUUUCAAUAAAACCUUUUUUUUUUUUUGUGUUUGUGUGUCUCUCCUUUUGGAGUGUGUGUUUUGUCUCUCCUGUUGGAGUGUUUGGUUAUGUUUCCGUCUAGUUAUGGUUGGGUCUAUUUAGUGUUGGAUCUGUUAAGAACGAGUUUAUUGAUAUUUCUGGUGAUCUGCAAAAACUGUAUCGAAUCUGGGACGAUGGUGAUUAUUGCAAGAGCCCACCUUUCACAACCAAAGAUUGUUCAUCAUUCACAGGUUUACACUAUCGGCAUGUCUAUAGCUGGUAUCCGGCAUGUAGAUAGCUGGGGUGUCUUCGGCAUGUCUAUAGCUGGUGUCCGGCAUGUAGAUAGCUGUGGUACCGCUUCUCCAAUCUCAAUUUAUGCGAUUGGUGUUUCUGAACAUUGGGCUAACAAUGGUUUUUAUGUGAUAUGGUCAAUUGCGAUGUUAUUAUUUCCAGAGGUGUUGGUGCAAUUUGGAUCGCUUGGGAUGUCUUUGAUUUCGUUUUUAGCUUCAAGAAUUGUUAAAUUCUACUAGCUUAUAGCCCGUGCAAGGCACGGGAGCUUUUUAAUUAUUUAUAAACUUUUUAAAAAUAUUUUAAAUGGUGUGAAAAAAAUUAAUUUAUAAAUAAUAGAUUAAAAU